CUCAAAGAAGAGAGGGAGAUAAUGAUGCAAAAUGUUGUUUAAUCCAGUGUGAAUCGCCCCAGGUCUCUCACUGCUAUUGCUCACUGGCUGGCUUUUUGAAGGAUAGUUGAAUUUUGCACAAGCUUACCCUGAGUUUGUCCUGACCUACCUAGAGGAACUAAAUGAAAGAGAGGAGAUGACCCAGACAGAAAACCGCAUUCACCAUGGGGCCUGGUCUGUAGCUCAUCAGGAGAUAGACAGCAGCUCAGCAGAAGAGGUCACAGUAUUAAGCCAGAGGCAGGACCUUUGGACGCCCAUUUAA
RNAcentral lists this long non-coding RNA (301 nucleotides) under Athene cunicularia (burrowing owl). RNAcentral's name for it is "lncRNA (ENSACUG00000006836.1)". The record is from RNAcentral. Lineage: Eukaryota; Metazoa; Chordata; Aves; Strigiformes; Strigidae.